Humulus lupulus (European hop) is the source of this 546-nucleotide long non-coding RNA. RefSeq lists it as uncharacterized. The transcript is spliced from 3 exons. NCBI's taxonomy places the organism in Eukaryota, Viridiplantae, Streptophyta, Magnoliopsida, Rosales, Cannabaceae. The record is from RefSeq and is a predicted model, not a curated record.
UCCAGGUGCUAGUGAGACUAUAGAGUGAUAAACACUUGGGUUGGGGUUAUAAGCUUAAUCAUUAUAAGCGUAAUAAACACUUGGGAAGUAAGGUUAUAGUGUAUUUCAGUUUCGAGGUAUAGUUCGGUCAUAUAAGCAUUCAAGGAAUCUAAGAUCUUGAACGUAAGAUUCUUGUUGGAAAAUAGCUAUGGUGGCGGAAAGGUUCUUGGCAGCUUGGGAGUUGUGUAUUGAGGCAGGAUGGAAUCGAUGGACUGAGCGUUCGAUUCGAGGAUGAAGUCUUUUAAUUAUGGUUUUCUAUGUAUUUUUCCGCAUUUGGUUUGUAAUAAGUUUUAAUUAAGUUUUAAUUAUGUCAAAAGUUAUGUUUUGUUUCAAACAAUGGGAUCCCAUGUAUUACUUAUGAAUUUUAUGUAGUUUUGAAUAUUUUCCUUACAGUUUUAAAAUAAAGUUAUGAUUAUUUUAUAUGUACGUUUUCUUAAGAUUAGUAUAGUAAUUAGUGAUGGUCCAAAGUCUAGAAUAGUUGGGUCGUUCCACCAUAUUGGUGACUGA